GGCUCCGUAGCUCAGCGGUUAGAGCGCUCCACUCAUAAUGGAGAGGUCGCAGGUUCGAAUCCUGCCGGAGCUA
RNAcentral lists this transfer RNA (73 nucleotides) under Thermoleophilum album. It matches the Rfam family "tRNA". Rfam says of the family: Transfer RNA (tRNA) molecules are approximately 80 nucleotides in length. Their secondary structure includes four short double-helical elements and three loops (D, anti-codon, and T loops). Lineage: Bacteria; Bacillati; Actinomycetota; Thermoleophilia; Thermoleophilales; Thermoleophilaceae. RNAcentral also lists the same sequence under 2 other names. The record is from Rfam by way of RNAcentral.